UCGAGCGGUAGAAUUAUUAUUGAGUCUUCGGAUGAUUUAAUAAUUUGAGAGCGGCGAACGGGUGAGUAACACGUUGGUAUCUGCCCCCAAGUCAGGGAUAGCCAUUGGAAACGAUGAUUAAUACCGGAUAGUCUCUUCGGAGUAAAGAUUUAUUGCUUGGGGAGGAGCCUGCGUUCUAUCAGCUUGUUGGUAGUGUAAAAGACUACCAAGGCUAUGACGGAUACCUGGUCUGAGAGGAUGAUCAGGCACAAUGGAACUGAGACACGGUCCAUACUCCUACGGGAGGCAGCAGUGAGGAAUCUUCCACAAUGGGCGAAAGCCUGAUGGAGCGACACCGCGUGAAGGAUGAAGGCCUAACGGUUGUAAACUUCUUUUCUGAAGGAGCAUAAUGAGAGUACUUCAGGAAUAGGGGACGGCUAAAUACGUGCCAGCAGCCGCGGUAAUACGUAUGUCUCGAGCGUUACCCGGAAUCACUGGGUGUAAAGGGUUUGUAGGCGGCUUGUUAAGUUGGAUAUGAAAGACCGGAGCUCAACUCCGUGUUUGUGUUCAAAACUGGCAAGCUAGAAUCAAGGAGAGGUAAGCGGAAUUCUAAGUGUAGGGGUGCAAUCCGUAGAUACUUAGAGGAACACCAAAAGCGAA
This 639-nucleotide ribosomal RNA is filed under the name uncultured bacterium. RNAcentral describes it as "bacterial SSU rRNA". It matches the Rfam family "Bacterial small subunit ribosomal RNA", at positions 62 to 719 of the family's 1533-position model. The record is from RNAcentral.